Molecule: ribosomal RNA, 301 nt
Filed under: uncultured bacterium
Lineage: Bacteria
Description: partial 16S ribosomal RNA
Rfam family: Bacterial small subunit ribosomal RNA
Source: RNAcentral
CAGUCGCCGCGGUAAUACGUAGGGUGCGAGCGUUAAUCGGAAUUACUGGGCGUAAAGCGUGCGCAGGCGGUUGUGUAAGACAGGUGUGAAAUCCCCGGGCUUAACCUGGGAACUGCGCUUGUGACUGCACAGCUAGAGUACGGCAGAGGGGGGUGGAAUUCCACGUGUAGCAGUGAAAUGCGUAGAGAUGUGGAGGAACACCGAUGGCGAAGGCAGCCCCCUGGGCCAACACUGACACUGAGGCACGAGAGCGUGGGGAGCAAACAGGAUUAGAUACCCGGGUAGUCCCUGUCUCUUAUAC